GCGGCGAACGGGUGAGUAACACGUAGGUGAUCUGCCCAUCAGACGGGGACAACGAUUGGAAACGAUCGCUAAUACCGGAUAGGACGAAAGUUUAAAGGUGCUUCUGGCACCGCUGAUGGAUGAGCCUGCGGCGCAUUAGCUAGUUGGUAGGGUAAAGGCCUACCAAGGCGACGAUGCGUAGCCGACCUGAGAGGGUGAACGGCCACACUGGGACUGAGACACGGCCCAGACUCCUACGGGAGGCAGCAUG
Molecule: ribosomal RNA, 250 nt
Filed under: uncultured bacterium
Lineage: Bacteria
Description: partial 16S ribosomal RNA
Rfam family: Bacterial small subunit ribosomal RNA
Source: RNAcentral